UUUUUGCACACGGUCCAUUCUUUACUCCCGCCAUAGUUACCACCGACUCGAGUCAGACCGAUAUUUCAGUCAGAGUGGAUGAGGAAGCAGCAGUGUAUACAAAGAAGGUACCAGUGUAUGUUUGUUUGUAAAACCCUCAAGUAAUUUGCCUGCCAUCAGGGCAUCUGGGUUUGCUCUCAGGCAGCAGAACUGUAGGGAUGAACUUGGCAAUGUAAAGGUGAGGCCGUGAGUUUAACAUCAGGUCAAGCCUCAGUCAAUCUUGGCAGAUAUAAAAACAGAUUUGUAAGUAAAUAAACAAAGAAAUGAAAUAAAAAGGAAAACAAAAUAAGGUCAUUAACACAAUCGCUGAACAGGUAUUUGGAAGAGGGUUUUUUUUUCAUUGCCUGAUUUAUUUCUCUCCUUUGUACAUAAAGAAAUUUUCCAGUUUAAUGACACAUGCGUUAUACAUUGUAGCCUUUAUAUCAUGAGAAGAAAUAAUGUUGAGUUUGAAGAACACUGUAGACAGAUACUGGCAUGAAUAUUCACAUGAAUGUGUUGCUUAAUCCAGAAUGGAGAAUGAAAAAAACGACAGCAACUAUGGUAGUCUACUAGAAUUUUGUAUUGUAUUGAUAUUUCACUGAUUCAUGGUGUGUAUAAUAUUAGCCUUCAGAGUUUAAAAAAAAAACAGUUCCAGUUUUUGGUGAAAACAACAUUGUUACAAUCAUUUUUUAAAUUACCUACAUCAGGUUUAUUGUUAUUCAGUCUUUGUUGUAAAAUUUUAGUAUAAAAUUAAAGAAAAUAAAAUAUCUCUUGUAAUUGAUUUAGAAACACAAAGUUAUUGUUAUCUGCAUUGAUCCAGAUUUGAUAAGACUGUUUUUUUUUUCAACCACACACAUUUGGAAAAACGUUGAAACAAAACUAUACUUCAUCACAUGUAGUUCUUUAUUAGUCAAAUGUGAAGCACACUGUAUAUUUUGACAUAAUAUUUACACAUAUAAAACAUUUAACUUUGUACAUUUUAUGAGAAUUUAUUUACUUUGUGUUAAAAUUUUGUUUUUCUUUUCCUUUUUUUAAAUCGUAGGCUUAAGAAAUGCUUUGAAUUUUAACCAAAAAAAAGGGGACAUCUUGUCUCAGUGGUAAAAUCAACAAACUUUCAUUUAUUUGAGACUAAACAUGAAACAUUUUUCAUUUGUACAUACUGGAAACUUCUAUCCAUGAGUGGUUUGCUGUUUCAUUUUACAUGAGCUGUUAUGUUGCAGUCAUAUUUUCCCUACGGCGGCCGUACGGCGACUCGAAAACGGCCACUUUAUAACAUUUUUUUGACCAGCUACAUAUUGGUGGUUUGAAUAAAAAUAAAACUGCUGUUUGACAUGUCAUAUGGCUCUUGUGGGGGAAUGUGACUGCAGCAAUAAUCACAAUAAACAUGAAAUGAUUAGUGUACAUUGCUCCGCUAUACAUUCAAACAACGUAAUAUUGACAGACAUGAUGGAGCAUAUACAGUAUUACUUUUAUGCAAAGCAGAAAACGUGUCUUUGGUUAUCUGCACAAUUUGUAUUUUACACCUACAUCUACCUACAUGUAUUAUAUCAGCUUGUGUAACAUGAAAAUCAAAAUGUAUAUAUGCGAAGAGAUUAUUUCUUUAGUACUUUAUGCCCUACCAGUAGAUCACAUUUUGGCAUGAUAAAAAUGAUCAGAAUUAAAAAAAGUGAAGGCAGAAACAAAACAUUUUCUUUGUAACAACUCUUUAAUGUGUCCCAUUUGAAAGUCAUUUGAAUUUUAAAGAUCUUUUUUUUUUUUUUACAAACCUCGGUACAUUUACUGCUUAUUGUGAAAUAUUGUUUGGAAAAUUCAAAACUAUAUCAGAAUCUUUUUACAGAAAUUAAACCAUCCUGGUUGACGCUUGUACAUAAUCUGUUUAAGGUUGGUUGAGGGGACAUGUUUGUGUCAGUUUUCACAGAUUAGAUCAUGAUGUAUAUGGAUAAUAAUAUGUUUUUCUGUCUUUUUGUACUAUGUAAUUAAACAUGUCAGGUUUGUAAAUCACCCAGUCAGAUCUGCUUGUAUUUGUUACUCGGAAAAAAAAUUUGAAUUGUGCCAAUGUGAUUAAAUGUUGCUUUUGAUUCUAAACUUUA
This 2108-nucleotide unclassified non-coding RNA is filed under the name Lytechinus variegatus (green sea urchin). Its description in RNAcentral is "zinc finger CCCH domain-containing protein 10-like, transcript variant X4". The record is from RNAcentral. Lineage: Eukaryota; Metazoa; Echinodermata; Echinoidea; Temnopleuroida; Toxopneustidae.